This 485-nucleotide ribosomal RNA is filed under the name uncultured bacterium. RNAcentral's name for it is "partial 16S ribosomal RNA". It matches the Rfam family "Bacterial small subunit ribosomal RNA", at positions 30 to 507 of the family's 1533-position model. The record is from RNAcentral.
UUGCACGCUGGCGGCAUGCCUUACACAUGCAAGUCGAACGGCAGCACGGGUGCUUGCACCUGGUGGCGAGUGGCGAACGGGUGAGUAAUACAUCGGAACAUGUCCUGUAGUGGGGGAUAGCCCGGCGAAAGCCGGAUUAAUACCGCAUACGAUCCACGGAUGAAAGCGGGGGACCUUCGGGCCUCGCGCUAUAGGGUUGGCCGAUGGCUGAUUAGCUAGUUGGUGGGGUAAAGGCCUACCAAGGCGACGAUCAGUAGCUGGUCUGAGAGGAUGACCAGCCACACUGGGACUGAGACACGGCCCAGACUCCUACGGGAGGCAGCAGUGGGGAAUUUUGGACAAUGGGCGAAAGCCUGAUCCAGCAAUGCCGCGUGUGUGAAGAAGGCCUUCGGGUUGUAAAGCACUUUUGUCCGGAAAGAAAUCCUUGGCUCUAAUACAGUCGGGGGAUGACGGUACCGGAAGAAUAAGCACCGGCUAACUACGUG